RNAcentral lists this ribosomal RNA (292 nucleotides) under uncultured bacterium. RNAcentral describes it as "partial 16S ribosomal RNA". It matches the Rfam family "Bacterial small subunit ribosomal RNA", at positions 505 to 796 of the family's 1533-position model. The record is from RNAcentral.
GUGUCAGCCGCCGCGGUAAUACAGAGGGUGCAAGCGUUGUUCGGAAUUAUUGGGCGUAAAGCGCGUGUAGGCGGCCUAUCAAGUCAGAUGUGAAAGCCCUCGGCUUAACCGAGGAAGUGCGUCUGAAACUGAUGGGCUUGAGUGCCGGAGAGGAUGGCGGAAUUCCGCAAGUAGAGGUGAAAUUCGUAGAUAUGCGGAGGAACACCGGUGGCGAAGGCGGCCAUCUGGACGGCAACUGACGCUGAGACGCGAAAGCGUGGGGAGCAAACAGGAUUAGAUACCCCCGUAGUCC